This 194-nucleotide ribosomal RNA is filed under the name uncultured Lactobacillus sp. Its description in RNAcentral is "partial 16S ribosomal RNA". It matches the Rfam family "Bacterial small subunit ribosomal RNA", at positions 240 to 433 of the family's 1533-position model. The record is from RNAcentral. Lineage: Bacteria; Bacillati; Bacillota; Bacilli; Lactobacillales; Lactobacillaceae.
AUUAGCUAGUUGGUGAGGUAAUGGCUCACCAAGGCGAUGAUACGUAGCCGAACUGAGAGGUUGAUCGGCCACAUUGGGACUGAGACACGGCCCAAACUCCUACGGGAGGCAGCAGUAGGGAAUCUUCCACAAUGGACGCAAGUCUGAUGGAGCAACGCCGCGUGAGUGAAGAAGGCUUUCGGGUCGUAAAACUC